AACCUUAUGGACCUGCGGGCGUAUACCUGCGGAAGGAUCAUUAUUGAAUUAUGUUUCUAGAUGGGUUGUCGCUGGCUCUUCGGAGCAUGUGCACGCCUGUUUAGAUUUCAUUUUCAUCCACCUGUGCACCUAUUGUAGUCUUCGGUUGGGUAUGGAGAGGAAGUGGUCAGCCUAUCAGCAUUUGCUGGAUGUGAGGAGUGCAGUGUGAAAACAUUGCUGUCCUCAACUUGGCCAUGGAAU
This 240-nucleotide unclassified non-coding RNA is filed under the name soil metagenome. RNAcentral describes it as "partial contains 5.8S ribosomal RNA, internal transcribed spacer 2, and large subunit ribosomal RNA". The record is from RNAcentral.